RNAcentral lists this ribosomal RNA (233 nucleotides) under uncultured bacterium. RNAcentral's name for it is "partial 16S ribosomal RNA". It matches the Rfam family "Bacterial small subunit ribosomal RNA", at positions 308 to 525 of the family's 1533-position model. The record is from RNAcentral.
UAUUACCGCGGCUGCUGGGGCGGGGGCACGGGGGGACUCCUACGGGAGGCAGCAGUAGGGAAUCUUCCGCAAUGGACGAAAGUCUGACGGAGCAACGCCGCGUGAGUGAUGAAGGCUUUCGGGUCGUAAAACUCUGUUGUUAGGGAAGAACAAGUACGAGAGUAACUGCUCGUACCUUGACGGUACCUAACCAGAAAGCCACGGCUAACUACGUGCCAGCAGCCGCGGUAAUA